This 371-nucleotide ribosomal RNA is filed under the name Protomonostroma undulatum. RNAcentral describes it as "bacterial LSU rRNA". It matches the Rfam family "Bacterial large subunit ribosomal RNA", at positions 2098 to 2465 of the family's 2925-position model. Lineage: Eukaryota; Viridiplantae; Chlorophyta; Ulvophyceae; Ulvales; Monostromataceae. The record is from RNAcentral.
GCUUGACUGUAGCUUGGAAWUGAAUUCGGGCUCUUUUUUCGCAGUAUAGGUGGGAGGCGUUGAUAAUAAGUUUUCGGGCUUAUUGGAGCCANUCAGUGAGAUACCACUAUCAAAGAGCUAGGAUUCUAAUAGGACUCNCUUGAAUCAGGAUCCUUGACAGUUUCAGGCGGACAGUUUGUCUGGGGCGGAUGCCUCCUAAAAGGUAACGGAGGCGUGCAAAGGUUCCCUCAGGCUGGACGGAAAUCAGCUGUAGAGUGUAAAGGUAGAAGGGAGCUUGACUGCAAGACCAACAAGUCAAGCAGGGGCGAAAGCCGGCCUUAGUGAUCCGACGGUACCGAGUGGAAGGGCCGUCGCUCAACGGAUAAAAGUUA